This 118-nucleotide ribosomal RNA is filed under the name Pteropus alecto (black flying fox). Lineage: Eukaryota; Metazoa; Chordata; Mammalia; Chiroptera; Pteropodidae. The record is from RNAcentral.
GUCUAUGGUCAUGCUACCCUGAACAAGCCGGUUACUGUCUGAUCUCAGAAGCUAAGCAGGGUGGGCUUGGUUAGUACUUGAAUGGGAGACCACCUAGGAAGACCAGGUGCUGCAGGCU